UACGAGGGGUGCAAGCGUUAUUCGGAAUCAUUGGGCGUAAAGGGUACGCAGGCGGCAUGUUAAGUCAACUGUUAAAUGUCCGGCCUAACCGGAAACCAGCGGUAGAUACUGACAUGCUAGAGGAUGAGAGAGAGAAGUGGAAUUCCCGGAGUAGCGGUAAAAUGCGUGGAUCUCGGGAGGAACACCAAUGGCGAAGGCAGCUUCUUGGCUCAUUCCUGACGCUCAGGUACGAAAGCGUGGGGAGCAAACAGGAUUAGAUACCCCUGUA
This 268-nucleotide ribosomal RNA is filed under the name uncultured prokaryote. RNAcentral describes it as "partial 16S ribosomal RNA". It matches the Rfam family "Bacterial small subunit ribosomal RNA", at positions 524 to 792 of the family's 1533-position model. The record is from RNAcentral.